RNAcentral lists this ribosomal RNA (320 nucleotides) under uncultured eukaryote. RNAcentral describes it as "partial 18S ribosomal RNA". It matches the Rfam family "Eukaryotic small subunit ribosomal RNA", at positions 1470 to 1796 of the family's 1831-position model. The record is from RNAcentral.
CCCUUAGAUGUUCUGGGCCGCACGCGCGCUACACUGACGAAUGCAACGAGCUUAUAACCUUGGCCGAAAGGUCUGGGUAAUCUCCAAAUUUCGUCGUGAUGGGGAUAGAUUAUUGCAAUUAUUAAUCUUCAACGAGGAAUGCCUAGUAAGCGCAAGUCAUCAGCUUGCGUUGAUUACGUCCCUGCCCUUUGUACACACCGCCCGUCGCACCUACCGAUUGAAUGGUCCGGUGAAAUCUCGGGACGGCGGCUUGGUCGCUUGCGUCUGACUGCUGAAACUUGAUUAAACCAUAUCAUUUAGAGGAAGGUGAANUCGUANCA